CCUUUCCCCGAAACAACUAUCAUGAGCGCGAGGCUGCCGGUGUUGUCUCCACCUCGGUGGCCGCGGCUGUUGCUGCUGUCGCUGCUCCUGCUGGGGGCGGUUCCUGGCCCGCGCCGGAGCGGCGCUUUCUACCUGCCCGGCCUGGCGCCCGUCAACUUCUGCGACGAAGAAAAAAAGAGCGACGAGUGCAAGGCCGAAAUAGAACUAUUUGUGAACAGACUUGAUUCAGUGGAAUCAGUUCUUCCUUAUGAAUACACAGCGUAAGUUUGAUUUUUGCCAAGCAUCAGAAGGAAAGCGCCCAUCUGAAAAUCUUGGUCAGGUACUAUUCGGGGAAAGAAUUGAACCUUCACCAUAUAAGUUUACGUUUAAUAAGAAGGAGACCUGUAAGCUUGUUUGUACAAAAACAUACCAUACAGAGAAAGCUGAAGACAAACAAAAGUUAGAAUUCUUGAAAAAAAGCAUGUUAUUGAAUUAUCAACAUCACUGGAUUGUGGAUAAUAUGCCUGUAACGUGGUGUUACGAUGUUGAAGAUGGUCAGAGGUUCUGUAAUCCUGGAUUUCCUAUUGGCUGUUACAUUACAGAUAAAGGCCAUGCAAAAGAUGCCUGUGUUAUUAGUUCAGAUUUCCAUGAAAGAGAUACAUUUUACAUCUUCAACCAUGUUGACAUCAAAAUAUACUAUCAUGUUGUUGAAACUGGGUCCAUGGGAGCAAGAUUAGUGGCUGCUAAACUUGAACCGAAAAGCUUCAAACAUACCCAUAUAGAUAAACCAGACUGCUCAGGGCCCCCCAUGGACAUAAGUAACAAGGCUUCUGGGGAGAUAAAAAUUGCCUAUACUUACUCUGUUAGCUUCGAGGAAGAUGAUAAGAUCAGAUGGGCGUCUAGAUGGGACUAUAUUCUGGAGUCUAUGCCUCAUACCCACAUUCAGUGGUUUAGCAUUAUGAAUUCCCUGGUCAUUGUUCUCUUCUUAUCUGGAAUGGUAGCUAUGAUUAUGUUACGGACACUGCACAAAGAUAUUGCUAGAUAUAAUCAGAUGGACUCUACGGAAGAUGCCCAGGAAGAAUUUGGCUGGAAACUUGUUCAUGGUGAUAUAUUCCGUCCUCCAAGAAAAGGGAUGCUGCUAUCAGUCUUUCUAGGAUCCGGGACACAGAUUUUAAUUAUGACCUUUGUGACUCUAUUUUUCGCUUGCCUGGGAUUUUUGUCACCUGCCAACCGAGGAGCGCUGAUGACGUGUGCUGUGGUCCUGUGGGUGCUGCUGGGCACCCCUGCAGGCUAUGUUGCUGCCAGAUUCUAUAAGUCCUUUGGAGGUGAGAAGUGGAAAACAAAUGUUUUAUUAACAUCAUUUCUUUGUCCUGGGAUUGUAUUUGCUGACUUCUUUAUAAUGAAUCUGAUCCUCUGGGGAGAAGGAUCUUCAGCAGCUAUUCCUUUUGGGACACUGGUUGCCAUAUUGGCCCUUUGGUUCUGCAUAUCUGUGCCUCUGACGUUUAUUGGUGCAUACUUUGGUUUUAAGAAGAAUGCCAUUGAACACCCAGUUCGAACCAAUCAGAUUCCACGUCAGAUUCCUGAACAGUCGUUCUACACGAAGCCCUUGCCUGGUAUUAUCAUGGGAGGGAUUUUGCCCUUUGGCUGCAUCUUUAUACAACUUUUCUUCAUUCUGAAUAGUAUUUGGUCACACCAGAUGUAUUACAUGUUUGGCUUCCUAUUUCUGGUGUUUAUCAUUUUGGUUAUUACCUGUUCUGAAGCAACUAUACUUCUUUGCUAUUUCCACCUAUGUGCAGAGGAUUAUCAUUGGCAAUGGCGUUCAUUCCUUACGAGUGGCUUUACUGCAGUUUAUUUCUUAAUCUAUGCAGUACACUACUUCUUUUCAAAACUGCAGAUCACGGGAACAGCAAGCACAAUUCUGUACUUUGGUUAUACCAUGAUAAUGGUUUUGAUCUUCUUUCUUUUUACAGGAACAAUUGGCUUCUUUGCAUGCUUUUGGUUUGUUACCAAAAUAUACAGUGUGGUGAAGGUUGACUGAAGAAGUCCAGUGUGUCCAGUUAAAACAGAAAUAAAUUAAACUCUUCAUCAACAAAGACCUGUUUUUGUGACUGCCUUGAGUUUUAUCAGAAUUAUUGGCCUAGUAAUCCUUCAGAAACACCGUAAUUCUAAAUAAAC
This 2154-nucleotide long non-coding RNA is filed under the name Homo sapiens (human). RNAcentral's name for it is "long non-coding RNA NONHSAT166176.1". The record is from RNAcentral. Lineage: Eukaryota; Metazoa; Chordata; Mammalia; Primates; Hominidae.